RNAcentral lists this transfer RNA (82 nucleotides) under Nitratireductor aquibiodomus. RNAcentral describes it as "tRNA-Thr". Lineage: Bacteria; Pseudomonadati; Pseudomonadota; Alphaproteobacteria; Hyphomicrobiales; Phyllobacteriaceae. RNAcentral also lists the same sequence under 2 other names. The record is from RNAcentral.
GUGCUUUCAAUGGGUUGGGAAGAACCGGCUCCGGCGAUUUGUAAUCAGGGGGUCGGCGGUUCGAGUCCGUCCGGGGGCACCA